UCAAGUGAGAAAUGUGGAGAAGUUCUGUCAAAACCUUUGAUUAUGCAAAACAAAGCUGUGGAGUAUUCUAGAUACUCUUUACUACAUCAGUAAAUGCUGGGGAAAAUGGGAAGCUUGGAUGGGGAGAGCCAAGCAGAAUGUUCAUUGAAAUGUUCAAGACUGGAAUGAAGAUGAUGGUGGAAAAGUCAACAACACCAUAUAGGUAAUAUUAUUGUCCACAGUAAUGACAUGAAAGAGAAAUGAC
Molecule: long non-coding RNA, 244 nt
Filed under: Parus major (Great Tit)
Lineage: Eukaryota; Metazoa; Chordata; Aves; Passeriformes; Paridae
Description: lncRNA (ENSPMJG00000003692.1)
Source: RNAcentral